RNAcentral lists this ribosomal RNA (254 nucleotides) under uncultured bacterium. Its description in RNAcentral is "partial 16S ribosomal RNA". It matches the Rfam family "Bacterial small subunit ribosomal RNA", at positions 524 to 776 of the family's 1533-position model. The record is from RNAcentral.
UACGUAGGGGGCAAGCGUUGUCCGGAUUUAUUGGGCGUAAAGAGCUCGUAGGUGGUUCGGUAAGUCGGAUGUGAAAUCUCCAGGCUCAACCUGGAGGGGUCAUUCGAUACUGCCGUGACUAGAGGUCGGUAGGGGAGUGUGGAAUUCCUGGUGGAGCGGUGAAAUGCGCAGAGAUGUGGAGGAACACCGAUGGCGAAGGCAGCCUCCUGGGCCAGCACUGACGCUCAUGCACGAAAGCGUGGGGAGCAAACAGG